CUGUAGGAGUUCAGGGUAGACCACUCGCUGAAGGAGUUCGGAGUAGACCGCUCGCUGUAGGAGUUCAGGGUAGACCACUCGCUGUAGGAGUUCGGAGUAGACCGCUCGUAGUAGAAGUUCGGCUCUCACAGGAGCCCGGUCGGAAUCUUGAAGAUGGUCGACUGUCGUAGAAACUCGGAUGGAGUUCGAUCUCUGUAGAAACCUCGUUGUCGAAGAAGCUCGAAUAUCGAUGGAGUCUGGAAAGAG
RNAcentral lists this long non-coding RNA (246 nucleotides) under Elaeis guineensis (African oil palm). RNAcentral's name for it is "long non-coding RNA (EGUI_LNC050985)". Lineage: Eukaryota; Viridiplantae; Streptophyta; Magnoliopsida; Arecales; Arecaceae. The record is from RNAcentral.